GCCCCAGAAUGGUUACAUUCUUGGAGAAGAAUUUGAAUCCUCAGGACUAAGAAAAUAAAAUCAGGCCCAGGUUGUUGUGUUCUUGAAGUCAUUCUUUGGUUUAUUUGGCAUAAUGAAAUCUAUAACGUCUCGUCUUUAAAUAAGUAACUUCACUGAAACCCUUGUCAGCUUUAAUAGGAUUCAGGUCAGAAGAUUUUGAGCAAAAACAGUGCAAGCUACAGACAUGUGUGCAUUUUGCUAAAAGGACAGCCUCCUCUAUUUUGGAAGAUUUUUCUGUCUGAUGGAGUUGUCUGCUCAUAAGGAUCCUUGAGGAGAGAAUGUUGGAGAAAAGGAGGAUUGUUCAGCCUGGAGUUUCCAUCAUAUGGACGUGCAUAUUGAAGCCAUGUGUCCCAUCUUACUGUCUGAACAUCCCAACAAAGCUAAGAGCAGCCACUUCACCAUUAAUCAGCAAUCAGAUGAAGAGCUGACUUCGGAAGAGAACUUCUCUUGCUACUGUGGCCUGCCCCACACUCUGGCACACUGAAGGACAGGUGGGCAGGAAUCGGUUGGCCUGUUCAAAACAGCAAAUGAUGCAAGUGGCAGGACACGUCUUGCUUUGCCUUUGACUUGCAUCACGGUGUGUCUUUUCUCCACUGUGUUUUUUUUUUUUUUCCUGUGCGGAUCAAAGUCUCAGGAGUAAUUACCCCUCAGUAAGCUCAGUAGUGCCCUUUGUACAGGUGGGGUCCUCGUCAUUUGAGCCAGAGGAUGGUUAACGUGUACAUAUAACAUUACACAGA
This is a long non-coding RNA of Prionailurus viverrinus (fishing cat), 776 nucleotides long. RefSeq lists it as uncharacterized. The transcript is spliced from 4 exons. NCBI's taxonomy places the organism in Eukaryota, Metazoa, Chordata, Mammalia, Carnivora, Felidae. The record is from RefSeq and is a predicted model, not a curated record.